This 406-nucleotide ribosomal RNA is filed under the name uncultured bacterium. Its description in RNAcentral is "partial 16S ribosomal RNA". It matches the Rfam family "Bacterial small subunit ribosomal RNA", at positions 30 to 526 of the family's 1533-position model. The record is from RNAcentral.
AUUGAACGCUGGCGGCAGGCCUACCACAUGCAAGUCGAACGAGUGGCGGACGGGUGAGUAAUGUCUGGGAAACUGCCCGAUGGAGGGGGAUAACUACUGGAAACGGUAGCUAAUACCGCAUACCAUCGGAUGUGCCCAGAUGGGAUUAGCUUGUAGGUGAGGUAACGGCUCACCUAGGCGCCGAUCCCUAGCUGGUCUGAGAGGAUGACCAGCGACACUUGAACUGAGACACGUUGCAGACGACUACGGGAGGCAGCAGGGGGGAAGAUGGCACAAGGGGAGCAAGCCUGAUGCAGCCAUGCCGCGUGUAUGAAGAAGGCCUUCGGGUUGUAAAGUAAGUUCAGCUGGGAGGCGUUACCCGCAGAAGAAGCACAUGCUAACUCCGUGCCAGCAGACGCGGUAAUUC